GGGAUAUUGCACAAUGGGGGGAACCCUGAUGCAGCGACGCCGCGUGGGUGAAGAAGUAUUUCGGUAUGUAAAGCCCUAUCAGCAGGGACGAUAAUGACGGUACCUGAGUAAGAAGCCCCGGCUAACUACGUGCCAGCAGCCGCGGUAAUACGUAGGGGGCAAGCGUUAUCCGGAUUUACUGGGUGUAAAGGGAGCGCAGACGGGAAGCCAAGUCAGAUGUGGAAGCCCCGGGCAUAACCCGGGGAGUGCAUUUGAAACUGGAGACCUGGAGUACUGGAGGGGUGGGCGGAAUUCCUGGUGUAGCGGUGAAAUGCGUAGAUAUCAGGAAGAACACCGGCGGCGAAGGCGGCCCACUGGACAGAAACUGACGUUGAGGCUCGAAAGCGUGGGGAGCAAACA
This 399-nucleotide ribosomal RNA is filed under the name uncultured bacterium. RNAcentral describes it as "bacterial SSU rRNA". It matches the Rfam family "Bacterial small subunit ribosomal RNA", at positions 358 to 774 of the family's 1533-position model. The record is from RNAcentral.